CGGGAUGUAGCUCAGCCUGGUAGAGCGUUACGUUCGGGACGUAAAUGUCGCUGGUUCGAAUCCAGUCAUCCCGACCA
Molecule: transfer RNA, 77 nt
Filed under: Puniceicoccales bacterium
Lineage: Bacteria; Pseudomonadati; Verrucomicrobiota; Opitutia; Puniceicoccales
Description: tRNA-Pro
Rfam family: tRNA
About the family: Transfer RNA (tRNA) molecules are approximately 80 nucleotides in length. Their secondary structure includes four short double-helical elements and three loops (D, anti-codon, and T loops).
Source: RNAcentral